Molecule: ribosomal RNA, 1404 nt
Filed under: uncultured prokaryote
Description: partial 16S ribosomal RNA
Rfam family: Bacterial small subunit ribosomal RNA
Source: RNAcentral
AAGUCGAGCGGUAACAGAUCUAGCUUGCUAGAUGCUGACGAGCGGCGGACGGGUGAGUAACGCGUGGGAAUCUACCCAGUAGCGGGGGAUAACUUGUGGAAACGCAAGCUAAUACCGCAUACGCCCUAAGGGGGAAAGCAGGGGACCUUCGGGCCUUGUGCUAAAAGAUGAGUCUGCGUCAGAUUAGCUUGUUGGUGAGGUAAUGGCUCACCAAGGCGACGAUCUGUAGCUGGUCUGAGAGGACGACCAGCCACACUGGGACUGAGAUACGGCCCAGACUCCUACGGGAGGCAGCAGUGAGGAAUAUUGGACAAUGGGCGCAAGCCUGAUCCAGCCAUACCGCGUGUGUGAAGAAGGCUCUAGGGUUGUAAAGCACUUUCAGCAGGGACAAAAAGUUGAUGGUUAAUAGCCAUCAGCUGUGACGUUAACUGCAGAAUAAGCACCGGCUAACUCCGUGCCAGCAGCCGCGGUAAUACGGAGGGGGCAAGCGUUAAUCGGAAUUACUGGGCGUAAAGCGCACGUAGUCGGCUUUUUAAGCUAGAUGUGAAAGCCCCGGGCUCAACCUGGGAACUGCAUUUUGAACUGGUCGACUAGAGUUUUGUAGAGGGUGGUGGAAUUUCCAGUGUAGCGGUGAAAUGCGUAGAGAUCUGAAGGAACAUCAGUGGCGAAGGCGACACUCUGGACCAAUACUGACGCUGAGGUGCGAAAGCGUGGGUAGUAAACAGGAUUAGAUAUCCUGGUAGUCCACGCCGUAAACGAUGUCUACUAGCCGUUGGGUUCCUUGAGGACUUAGUGGCGCAAGUUAAUGUAUUAAGUAGACCGCCUGGGGAGUACGGCCGCAAGGUUAAAACUCAAAUGAAUUGACGGGGGCCCGCACAAGCGGUGGAGCAUGUGGUUUAAUUCGAUGCAACGCGAAGAACCUUACCAGGUCUUGACAUUCUGCGAAUUUUCUAGAAGUAGAUUGGUGCCUUCGGGAACGCAGUGACAGGUGCUGCAUGGCUGUCGUCAGCUCGUGUCGUGAGAUGUUGGGUUAAGUCCCGUAACGAACGCAACCCUUGUCCUUAGUUGCCAGCACAUAAUGGUGGGAACUCUAAGGAGACUGCCGGUGACAAACCGGAGGAAGGUGGGGACGACGUCAAGUCAUCAUGGCCCUUACGACCUGGGCUACACACGUGCUACAAUGGCAGGGACAGAGGGAUGCGAACUCGCGAGAGUAUGCGGACCCCAGAAAGCCUGUCGUAGUCCGGAUCGGAGUCUGCAACUCGACUCCGUGAAGUCGGAAUCGCUAGUAAUCGCGGAUCAGAAUGCCGCGGUGAAUACGUUCCCGGGCCUUGUACACACCGCCCGUCACACCAUGGGAGUGGGUUGCAAAAGAAGUGGCUAGUCUAACCUUCGGGGGGACGC